This 469-nucleotide ribosomal RNA is filed under the name uncultured bacterium. RNAcentral describes it as "partial 16S ribosomal RNA". It matches the Rfam family "Bacterial small subunit ribosomal RNA", at positions 28 to 507 of the family's 1533-position model. The record is from RNAcentral.
GAUGAACGCUGGCGGCGUGCUUAACACAUGCAAGUCGAACGGUGAACACGGAGCUUGCUCUGUGGGAUCAGUGGCGAACGGGUGAGUAACACGUGAGCAACCUGCCCCUGACUCUGGGAUAAGCGCUGGAAACGGCGUCUAAUACUGGAUAUGUGACGUGACCGCAUGGUCUGCGUUUGGAAAGAUCUUUCGGUUGGGGAUGGGCUCGCGGCCUAUCAGCUUGUUGGUGAGGUAAUGGCUCACCAAGGCGUCGACGGGUAGCCGGCCUGAGAGGGUGACCGGCCACACUGGGACUGAGACACGGCCCAGACUCCUACGGGAGGCAGCAGUGGGGAAUAUUGCACAAUGGGCGCAAGCCUGAUGCAGCAACGCCGCGUGAGGGAUGACGGCCUUCGGGUUGUAAACCUCUUUUAGCAGGGAAGAAGCGAAAGUGACGGUACCUGCAGAAAAAGCGCCGGCUAACUACGUG